Long non-coding RNA from Hydractinia symbiolongicarpus, 813 nucleotides. RefSeq lists it as uncharacterized. NCBI's taxonomy places the organism in Eukaryota, Metazoa, Cnidaria, Hydrozoa, Anthoathecata, Hydractiniidae. The record is from RefSeq and is a predicted model, not a curated record. The transcript has 3 exons.
UCUUAAGACGGGCCCAUCCAAUCUUCUGACGCACAUGCCCAAUCUUAGAACGCGUGGAGAAGGCCAUUGAACAAGUAAAAUUUUAGACUAUAUAAGUUCUACAAUACCAUAAACUGUUGAAUUUUCUUCCUAAUUUAAAAAGCUGACAUAUUAUAUCAGCUACCAUGUGCUUUUGCUGUUCAUCUGUUGGCAGUGAAUGGAAAUCUAUGUCCUCGUUGUUAUCCAAGUUUGGAUCAUGUAUAAUAGAAGAUUUUCCUGUGGUUGGGAUGAUUGCAGAAGGAGGGCGCUGACCAAAGACCAAUUCAUACGGUGAUAUACCAGUAGCACUGUGGUUCUGAGUAUUGAUGGCAUCUAUUAUAAGAAAUACACAGUAUACAUGAGGUGCAACAAAAUUAAAUCUGCUCCAGUGGUCGAUGGCAUGUAAAAUAUAUUUGUAAUCACCAUCAGGCAAAUGCAUCAUGUCAAUGAGAUCAACCUGAAAGGAUAAAAACUUUGUAAAGUUAAGAAACAUUGAGGCUGAACGAAAAAAGUGUUUCUUAUGAACACUCGUGAAUGAAUUAAUCUACACUUUCUAUUACCUGUAAACGCUUCAUAAAACCAUUUGAUAUAAUUGGUUGUAAAGGAGGAGAUGUAAUUUGAUGUUGUUUUAAGUGACAUGUAGCACAUAGGCGAAUAAAUUCUUCGACGACGCAUCUUGGUAUUCCCCAAUAUAAAGAAGAUAUCUAAAAAAGUGUCAUCAAUGUCACAAAUAUUUUAAGCUUUUGUUAAAAAAAUUAUUUAAACAAAUACAUACCUUUGCCUGUGUUUUUUUUA